Molecule: ribosomal RNA, 465 nt
Filed under: uncultured bacterium
Lineage: Bacteria
Description: partial 16S ribosomal RNA
Rfam family: Bacterial small subunit ribosomal RNA
Source: RNAcentral
GACGAACGCUGGCGGCGUGCUUAACACAUGCAAGUCGAACGGAAAGGCCCUGCUUGCAGGGUACUCGAGUGGCGAACGGGUGAGUAACACGUGGGUGAUCUGCCCUGCACUUCGGGAUAAGCCUGGGAAACCGGGUCUAAUACCGGAUAGGAGCCAUUUUUAGUGUGAUGGUUGGAAAGUUUUUUCGGUGUAGGAUGAGCUCGCGGCCUAUCAGCUUGUUGGUGGGGUAAUGGCCUACCAAGGCGGCGACGGGUAGCCGGCCUGAGAGGGUGGACGGCCACAUUGGGACUGAGAUACGGCCCAGACUCCUACGGGAGGCAGCAGUGGGGAAUAUUGCACCAGGGGCGCAAGCCUGAUGCAGCGACGCCGCGUGGGGGAUGACGGCCUUCGGGUUGUAAACUCCUUUCGCUAGGGACGAAGCUUUUUGUGACGGUACCUAGAUAAGAAGCACCGGCUAACUACGUG